AUUGAACGCUGGCGGCAUGCCUUACACAUGCAAGUCGAACGGCAGCACGGGAGCAAUCCUGGUGGCGAGUGGCGAACGGGUGAGUAAUAUAUCGGAACGUGCCCAGUCGUGGGGGAUAACGCAGCGAAAGCUGUGCUAAUACCGCAUACGAUCUCUGGAUGAAAGCGGGGGACUCGCAAGGGCCUCGCGCGAUUGGAGCGGCCGAUAUCAGAUUAGGUAGUUGGUGAGGUAAAGGCUCACCAAGCCAACGAUCUGUAGCUGGUCUGAGAGGACGACCAGCCACACUGGAACUGAGACACGGUCCAGACUCCUACGGGAGGCAGCAGUGGGGAAUUUUGGACAAUGGACGCAAGCCUGAUCCAGCCAUGCCGCGUGAGUGAAGAAGGCCUUCGGGUUGUAAAGCUCUUUCGGCGGGGAAGAAAUUGCUUCGGUUAAUACCCGGAGUAGAUGACGGUACCCGCAUAAGAAGCACCGGCUAACUACGUG
Molecule: ribosomal RNA, 486 nt
Filed under: uncultured bacterium
Lineage: Bacteria
Description: bacterial SSU rRNA
Rfam family: Bacterial small subunit ribosomal RNA
Source: RNAcentral